Long non-coding RNA from Mus musculus (house mouse), 1333 nucleotides. RefSeq annotates it as predicted gene 11958. NCBI's taxonomy places the organism in Eukaryota, Metazoa, Chordata, Mammalia, Rodentia, Muridae. The record is from RefSeq and is marked validated. The transcript has 3 exons.
GUCUACUCCCCAGCCUCUGCCUUCACCAGCAGAGUAGACCUUGGCCCUUUGUCCUAAUAGCCGUGUCUUCAUGGAUUUCUUAGUGGUCAGUGGUUAACUUGAUCCUGCACCCAGGGCACUCACUCGGCUCCUGCUUGUUUCUGGUCCUCUUCGUGUCAAAUGUCCCGGUUUCCAGGACAGCUUCCAGAGUGCUGGACGCGGUGGGGCACUGGCUGUGUGCAGACUCAGGAUACACACUCAGGUGACUCUCCAGAGGGAUCAUGAAGAUCUUGCGUGUCAACUCUGAAGCCCUGCAGCACGUGCCUAGCCAGCUGCAAGACCUUUUCGGAGGAGCCACCAGCAGGCUUCCUGAAGGCCAGGCUGCAGCUCUCAGGUGUCUGCCAUUGUCUCAGUCCCUGCCCCGGGUCUGCCACUUGGCACACAAUAGGCCUUGUACAUAUUUGUCAGAUGAGUGAAGAGUGAGGUCACUCACUACUGCUCCGGGUACACGGCCGAGCUAGACAGCCACAGUUCAGAGAUCCUUUGAGUCUUUGAGCCAAAAGUAUUUUGAGCCAAUCCCAACUUCCCCCUGAAUGCCAUCCCCGGAACGAUACUGAAGAGGUAUACCAGGAAAGCCCUGUGAUUAUGUGAAGGUGGACAUUAUGUGUCUCCACAGGCCUGCAGCCAAGCUGAAAACAGUUCUCAUGACUAUGUCUCAUCCCGGAAAGAAGAUCCUUCAUGGCAUGGUCGCUUUCAUCUCAUCAUGAGCUGAGUGUCCAAUACUUACUGAGAUGUGGUCCCCACGUUAAAGAACUUUAGAAAUUGUAAGGCCGCGUGCACCCCUGCCCAUACCUUGAUGUUCCAACCCCCUUGGGUACCAAGAAGGACAGGAAGAUAGAGAAAAUGAUGGUGACGUGGGAGGAGGAAGGAGCCCCUCACCCAGGCUUAAGCUCCUCACCAACUAAGGAUCAAGAACUCCAGCACCAUUAGCAACAUUUGCUUAAGGUCAUUCCCCCUUCCCAGCUAGAAGCCUACAAUUUUCUAGGACUCUAACCAGAAGCCUCAUUUACAGUAAAAGACACAUUCUAAAUCCCUUGUGCAACUCCAGUGGCUUCUGGUUUUUACCUUAUCAGAUUAUAAUCCCACCCUAUAAUCCAUUUACCAAAAAGAAAAAAGAAAAAAGAAAAAAAAAGGCUUCUUAGCAACCUUUGAGAUGUACUGAGAACCGCCGAAAGCGUCUGCACAGCAAAUGCUGGCGCUUGACUUGACCCUUUCUUAAGCCCACACCACACUCUUUAGUGUGCCUUAUUCUUUCCUUAAAUAAAACCUUCCUCUUUGUUUUUAAUAAACCCAA